CCCCUAGUAACUGCGAGUGAAGCGGGAAAAGCUCAAAUUUAAAAUCUGGCAGUCUUUGGCUGUCCGAGUUGUAAUCUAGAGAAGUGUUAUCCGCGUUGGACCGUGUACAAGUCUCCUGGAAUGGAGCAUCAUAGAGGGUGAGAAUCCCGUCUUUGACAUGGACUACCAGUGCUUUGUGAUGCGCUCUCAAAGAGUCGAGUUGUUUGGGAAUGCAGCUCAAAAUGGGUGGUAAAUUCCAUCUAAAGCUAAAUAUUGGCGAGAGACCGAUAGCGAACAAGUACCGUGAGGGAAAGAUGAAAAGAACUUUGGAAAGAGAGUUAAACAGUACGUGAAAUUGCUGAAAGGGAAACGCUUGAAGUCAGUCGCGUUGGCUGGAAAUCAACCUUGCUUUUGCUGGGCGUACUUUCUAGUCAAUGGGUCAGCAUCAAUUUUGACCAUUGGAAAAAGUGUAGGGGAAUGUGGCAUCUUCGGAUGUGUUAUAGCCCCUGCUCGCAUACAAUGGUUGGGAUUGAGGAAUUCAGCAGGGAAAAAA
RNAcentral lists this ribosomal RNA (532 nucleotides) under Conocybe sp. MSC 380544. RNAcentral's name for it is "eukaryotic LSU rRNA". It matches the Rfam family "Eukaryotic large subunit ribosomal RNA", at positions 77 to 609 of the family's 3401-position model. The record is from RNAcentral. Lineage: Eukaryota; Fungi; Basidiomycota; Agaricomycetes; Agaricales; Bolbitiaceae. RNAcentral also lists the same sequence under 1 other name.